This 371-nucleotide ribosomal RNA is filed under the name uncultured organism. RNAcentral's name for it is "bacterial SSU rRNA". It matches the Rfam family "Bacterial small subunit ribosomal RNA", at positions 526 to 896 of the family's 1533-position model. The record is from RNAcentral.
CGUAGGGGCAAGCGUUGUUCGGAUUCAUUGGGCGUAAAGGGUGCGUAGGUGGUCGGGUAAGUCGGAUGUGAAAUCCCGGGGCUCAACCCUGGAACUGCAUUCGAUACUGCCUGGCUAGAGUACUGGAGAGGAGAUUGGAAUUUACGGUGUAGCAGUGAAAUGCGUAGAUAUCGUAAGGAAGACCAGUGGCGAAGGCGGAUCUCUGGACAGUUACUGACACUGAGGCACGAAGGCCAGGGGAGCAAACGGGAUUAGAUACCCCGGUAGUCCUGGCAGUAAACGGUGCGCGUUUGGUGUGGGAGGAUUCGACCCCUUCCGUGCCGGAGCUAACGCGUUAAACGCGCCGCCUGGGGAGUACGGUCGCAAGAUUA